GAUGAAGAACGUAGCGAAAUGCGAUACUUGGUGUGAAUUGCAGAAUCCCGUGAACCAUCGAGUCUUUGAACGCAAGUUGCGCCCGAAGCCAUUAGGCCGAGGGCACGCUUGCCUGGGCGUCACACGUCGUUGCCCCCCCAUCUACUCCUUCGGGAUUGCGGGGGGCGGAUGAUGGCCUCCCGUGCGCCUCGCCGCGCGGUUGGCAUAAAUGCCAAGUCCUCGGCGACGCACGCCACGACAAUCGGUGGUUGCGAAACCUCGGUUGCCCGUCGUGUGCGGUCGUCGCGCAUCGAGGGCUCGAAAAAAUUGCCGGGUUCCGGCUCGGCUUUCAACGCGACCCCAGGUCAGGCGGGGUUACCCGCUGAAUUUAAGCAUAUCAAUAAGCGGGGA
Molecule: unclassified non-coding RNA, 390 nt
Filed under: soil metagenome
Description: partial contains 5.8S ribosomal RNA, internal transcribed spacer 2, and large subunit ribosomal RNA
Rfam family: 5.8S ribosomal RNA (bases 1-122)
Source: RNAcentral